This 368-nucleotide ribosomal RNA is filed under the name uncultured organism. RNAcentral's name for it is "bacterial LSU rRNA". It matches the Rfam family "Bacterial large subunit ribosomal RNA", at positions 2099 to 2465 of the family's 2925-position model. The record is from RNAcentral.
CUUUACUAUAGCCUGGAAUUGUGUUCGGGCUUUUCUUGCGCAGCCUAGGUGGGAGGCUAUGAAGAUUUCCUUCCGGGGAAGUUGGAGCCAUCAGUGAGAGACCACUCUGGAGAGGCUAGAAUCCUAAUGGUGAUCCUUGAAUCAGGACACUUGACAGUUUCAGGUGGGCAGUUUUUCUGGGGCGGAAGCCUCAUAAAGGGUAACUGAGGCGCGCAAAGGUCCCCUCAGUCUGGACGGAAAUCAGACAACGAGUGUAAAGGCAAAAGGGGGCUUGACUGCAAGACCUACAAGUCGAGCAGGAGCGAAAGCUGGCCUUAGUGAUCCGACGGUACCGUGUGGAAGGGCCGUCGCUCAACGGAUAAAAGUUA